This 253-nucleotide ribosomal RNA is filed under the name uncultured bacterium. RNAcentral's name for it is "partial 16S ribosomal RNA". It matches the Rfam family "Bacterial small subunit ribosomal RNA", at positions 524 to 776 of the family's 1533-position model. The record is from RNAcentral.
UACGUAGGGUGCAAGCGUUGUCCGGAAUUAUUGGGCGUAAAGGGCGCGUAGGCGGUUUGUUAAGUCGGCUGUGAAAGCCCGGGGCUCAACCCCGGAGGGUCAGCCGAUACUGGCAGGCUAGAGUACGGAAUAGGUAGCUGGAAUUCCCGGUGUAGCGGUGAAAUGCGUAGAUAUCAGGAGGAACACCGGUGGCGAAGGCGGGUCUCUGGGCCGAUACUGACGCUGAGGAGCGAAAGCGUGGGGAGCGAACAGG